RNAcentral lists this small RNA (281 nucleotides) under Histoplasma capsulatum. RNAcentral's name for it is "hypothetical RNA". The record is from RNAcentral. RNAcentral also lists the same sequence under 1 other name. Lineage: Eukaryota; Fungi; Ascomycota; Eurotiomycetes; Onygenales; Ajellomycetaceae.
CUACCUUUAUCGGGCCCCUGUGUGCCGCAGUCAUUACAUUGGCGGCAUUUAUGAUAAGCCAAUGGUAUGCUAGCCGGCUAAGCUCCGUCGUGGAGCCUGUGCUGCCAUGGCACUUUUGCCAGAGCAAACUCAUCGUGGGUCUUUCAUUAAGCUCGUUUAUGACGGGAGCUGUCAGCAUUACAUGCAUAAUCCAAAUUCCCAUUCGCUAUCAGACAGCGGUUGGCGGCACCCCUCUCCAAGCUGGCAUUAAGCUCAUCCCUCUUGCAUUGAGUACACCACCA